GAUGAACGCUGGCGGCGUGCCUAAUACAUGCAAGUCGAGCGAACAGACGAGGAGCUUGCUCCUUUGACGUUAGCGGCGGACGGGUGAGUAACACGUAUGUAACCUACCUAUAAGACUGGGAUAACUUCGGGAAACCGGAUCUAAUACCGGAUAAUAUUUCGAACCGCGUGGUUCGAUAGUGAAAGAUGGCUUUGCUAUCACUUAUAGAUGGACCUGCGCCGUAUUAGCUAGUUGGUAAGGUAACGGCUUACCAAGGCAACGAUCCGUAGCCGACCUGAGAGGGUGAUCGGCCACACUGGAACUGAGACACGGUCCAGACUCCUACGGGAGGCAGCAGUAGGGAAUCUUCCGCAAUGGGCGAAAGCCUGACGGAGCAACGCCGCGUGAGUGAUGAAGGUCUUCGGAUCGUAAAACUCUGUUAUUAGGGAAGAACAAACGUGUAAGUAACUGUGCACGUCUUGACGGUACCUAAUCAGAAAGCCACGGCUAACUACGUG
Molecule: ribosomal RNA, 497 nt
Filed under: uncultured bacterium
Lineage: Bacteria
Description: partial 16S ribosomal RNA
Rfam family: Bacterial small subunit ribosomal RNA
Source: RNAcentral